AUGGACGAAAGUCUGAUGGAGCAACGCCGCGUGAGUGAAGAAGGGUUUCGGCUCGUAAAACUCUGUUGUUAAAGAAGAACAUAUCUGAGAGUAGCUGUUCAGGUAUUGACGGUAUUUAACCAGAAAGCCACGGCUAACUACGUGCCAGCAGCCGCGGUAACACGUAGGUGGCAAGCGUUGUCCGGAUUUAUUGGGCGUAAAGCGAGCGCAGGCGGUUUUUUAAGUCUGAUGUGAGAGCCUUCGGCUCAACCGAAGAAGUGCAUCGGAAACUGGGAAACUUGAGUGCAGAAGAGGACAGUGGAACUCCAUGUGUAGCGGUGAAAUGCGUAGAUAUAUGGAAGAACACCAGUGGCGAAGGCGGCUGUCUGGUCUGUAACUGACGCUGAGGCUCGAAAGUAUGGGUAGCAAACAGGAUUAGAUACCCUGAUAGUCCAUACCGUAAACGAUGAAUGCUAAGUGUUGGAGGGUUUCCGCCCUUCAGUGCUGCAGCUAACGCAUUAAGCAUUCCGCCUGGGGAGUACGGCCGCAAGGCUGAAACUCAAAGGAAUUGACGGGGGCCCGCACAAGCGGUGGAGCAUGUGGUUUAAUUCGAAGCUACGC
This 600-nucleotide ribosomal RNA is filed under the name Lactiplantibacillus plantarum. RNAcentral's name for it is "bacterial SSU rRNA". It matches the Rfam family "Bacterial small subunit ribosomal RNA", at positions 371 to 962 of the family's 1533-position model. The record is from RNAcentral. Lineage: Bacteria; Bacillati; Bacillota; Bacilli; Lactobacillales; Lactobacillaceae.